UACGGAGGGGACUAGCGUUGUUCGGAAUUACUGGGCGUAAAGCGCACGUAGGCGGAUUUGUAAGUCAGGGGUGAAAUCCCGGGGCUCAACCCCGGAACUGCAUCCGAUACUGCCGUGCUAGAGGAUUGGAGAGGUAGCUGGAAUUCUUGGUGUAGCAGUGAAAUGCGUGGAGAUCAAGAGGAACACUCGUGGCGAAAGCGAGCUACUGGACAAUAUCUGACGCUGAGGCUCGAAAGCUAGGGGAGCAAACGGG
RNAcentral lists this ribosomal RNA (253 nucleotides) under uncultured bacterium. RNAcentral describes it as "partial 16S ribosomal RNA". It matches the Rfam family "Bacterial small subunit ribosomal RNA", at positions 524 to 776 of the family's 1533-position model. The record is from RNAcentral.